RNAcentral lists this ribosomal RNA (1242 nucleotides) under metagenome. Its description in RNAcentral is "bacterial SSU rRNA". It matches the Rfam family "Bacterial small subunit ribosomal RNA", at positions 253 to 1520 of the family's 1533-position model. The record is from RNAcentral.
CGAGGUAACGGCUCACCAAGUCGACGAUCAGUAGCCGAACUGAGAGGUUGAACGGCCACAUUGGGACUGAGACACGGCCCAGACUCAUACGGGAGGCAGCAGUGGGGGAUAUUGCACAAUGGGGGAAACCCUGAUGCAGCGAUGCCGCGUGGAGGAAGAAGGUUUUCGGAUUGUAAACUCCUGUCGUAAGGGAAGAGAAAGGACUGUACCUUACAAGAAAGCUCCGGCUAACUACGUGCCAGCAGCCGCGGUAAUACGUAGGGAGCGAGCGUUGUCCGGAAUGACUGGGUGUAAAGGGAGCGUAGGCGGGAUGGCAAGUCAGAUGUGAAACCUGAGGGCUCAACCUUCAGACUGCAUUUGAAACUGCUGUUCUUGAGUGAAGUAGAGGUGAGCGGAAUUCCUGGUGUAGCGGUGAAAUGCGUAGAGAUCAGGAGGAACAUCGGUGGCGAAGGCGGCUUACUGGGCUUUUACUGACGCUGAGGCUCGAAAGCGUGGGGAGCAAACAGGAUUAGAUACCCUGGUAGUCCACGCUGUAAACGAUGAUUACUAGGUGUGGGGGGAUUGACCCCUUCCGUGCCGCAGUUAACACAAUAAGUAAUCCACCUGGGGAGUACGACCGCAAGGUUGAAACUCAAAGGAAUUGACGGGGGCCCGCACAAGCAGUGGAGUAUGUGGUUUAAUUCGAAGCAACGCGAAGAACCUUACCAGGUCUUGACACCGAGUGACGUAUCCAGAGAUGGAUAUUUCCUUCGGGACACAAAGACAGGUGGUGCAUGGUUGUCGUCAGCUCGUGUCGUGAGAUGUUGGGUUAAGUCCCGCAACGAGCGCAACCCUUAUCAUUAGUUGCUACGCAAGAGCACUCUAAUGAGACUGCCGUUGACAAAACGGAGGAAGGUGGGGAUGACGUCAAAUCAUCAUGCCCCUUAUGACCUGGGCUACACACGUACUACAAUGGCGAUCGAACAGAGGGAGCAAGACAGCGAUGUGGAGCCAAUCCCAAAAAAUCGCCCCAGUUCAGAUUGCAGGCUGCAACUCGCCUGCAUGAAGUCGGAAUUGCUAGUAAUCGCAGAUCAGCAUGCUGCGGUGAAUACGUUCCCGGGCCUUGUACACACCGCCCGUCACACCAUGGGAGUCGGUAACACCCAAAGCCGGUCGUCUAACCUUCGGGAGGACGCCGUCUAAGGUGGGAUUGAUGACUGGGGUGAAGUCGUAACAAGGUAGCCGUAUCGGGAGGUGCGGCUG